AGCGAACGCUGGCGGCGUGCUUAACACAUGCAAGUCGAGUGCGCAGUUCCGCUGUAGCAAUACAGUGGGAUGGGCGCACGGCGCACGGGGUGAGUAUCACGUGAACAACCUGCCCUUCGGACGGGGAAUAACCCCGCGAAAGCGGGGCUAAUACCGCGUACGAUUCCGGGGACUUCGGUUCCUGGUCUGAUAGCUCGCAAGGGUGGACGGAGGAGGGGUUCGCGGCCGAUUAGCAGUUGGCGGGGUAACGGCCCACCAAGGCAAUGAUCGGUAGCCGGUCUGAGAGGAUGGCCGGCCACACUGGAACUGAGACACGGUCCAGACUCCUACGGGAGGCAGCAGUGGGGAAUCUUGCGCAAUGGGCGAAAGCCUGACGCAGCGACGCCGCGUGGGGGAUGAAGCUUCUCGGAGUGUAAACCCC
This 421-nucleotide ribosomal RNA is filed under the name uncultured bacterium. Its description in RNAcentral is "bacterial SSU rRNA". It matches the Rfam family "Bacterial small subunit ribosomal RNA", at positions 28 to 433 of the family's 1533-position model. The record is from RNAcentral.